GUGCGAGUAGCGGAUGUGAGCGACCUGAGCGCGCGGACCCACAAUUAGACUACAAUUCGCCGACACACCGGCGGAAUAUAUUUAUAAAUAAAUAUCUUCAGCUCAAAAUUAUAUGGUAAAAUAUCACUUGGCUGAAACUCUCGAAUAGAGUCGCUUAUUCUUUUUCUCUUAAUAAGACUUUUUAAAAGUGUUGCUUGCAAGUGAGGUGUAAAAUGUUAAUUUAGCUCGUGCCAACUCCGUGGAAAUAUGUAACUGCGACUAAUGAGGAUGUAAAAUGGAGCAGUCGGCUACUCUCGAUAUAGAGACUCUCAAGAUUACCCAGGAGCAGUUUAUUCUUGCAUCGCAGUCCCUGCACCUUCAGCGACCUGGCUGUGAUGCUGUCUACCAAGUGGGUCUAUACGGCUGGAGAAAACGAUGCCUCUAUUUCUUCCUGCUCCUGCUGCUGGUCACCAUGAUAGUUAACCUGGCCCUUACUGUCUGGAUCAUAAAGGUCAUGAAUUUUUCAGUGGAUGGAAUGGGAAACCUCCAGCUGAACCAGGAUGGGAUUCACUUGGAGGGAGUCAGCGAGUUUCAGUUGCCUCUUUAUGUGAAUGAGAUCCAGUCCAGAGGGGACAGCGUGUUGGUCUUACGAUCAGAAAAGAACGUAACGCUGAAUGCCAGAGACAGCCAAGGCCAGCUCACUGGUCAGCUCACAGUGGGACCUGAAGCUGUGGAAGCCCAGUGUCAGAGGCUGGAGGUGCGAAGUAGAGAUGGAGGCAGACUUCUGUUCACUGCCGAUGAGGACGAACUCACCAUGACAACAGAGCAACUGACAGUCACUGGCUCAGAAGGUGCUGUAUUCGAACACUCAGUCGAGACUCCUCUGAUCCAGGCGAGGACUUCUGAGGACCUGAAGCUCGAGGCCCCAACAAGAACCCUGACCAUGGAGGCUCCCAGAGGGGUGGAAGUAAGUGCUGCCAAGGGGACGCUGAAGAUCAGUAGCAGAAAGGACCUACAACUAGAGUCCACAGAGGGAGAGAUACUUCUAGAUGCAAACAGCAUUCAGCUUGGAAGCCUACCGCUUGGCAUGUACACAGCAUCUCCCAGUCAGGCCUUCCUGGAACAGGCCGUGUAUGAGGUGUGUGUUUGCCCCAGCGGCAAGAUCUACCUCUCCCCUGCAGAGAGCAGUUCCUCCUGCCAGGCCAUGAGCAACAUCUGCCUGUGGAGCUGACCUGGGAGUAGCGUCAGAGAGCAACAGCUCCUUGAAUGUUUCAUCUGACUGACAAGGGACAGAAAGUAGAAAGUGGAAUACACCGAGGUGGAGAUGGUACUCAAAAUCUUCACUGUCUGAGCUGUCACAUCAGGAGAGAAGCUGCUCCCUGCAGUGGAUUAAUAGAGGUCAGGACUCCACUGACAGCAUCUGAAGCAACAGCAACAGCUCUCUGAAAUCAGGAACAUGUACAAAACAGCUUCCAAUACCUUAUUAAAGUGGAACUUUUUCCUGACUUUGCAACACUAAGUGUGCGAGUCGUACCGCUCUACGACGCAGCGGCCCACUGUGGAGUCUGACAGAAGAAGCUGGCUUACCUUGUCACUCCAAAUGCGAGCAAGGCAGGCAGCCAUGUUUCAGCUGGCAUGCUGGAGAGAGAUUCCUUACUUUACUCUCCUUUCUCAUCCUCCACCACUGAUCAUAGGCCUCCGGCAGAGAUGAGCCCAUCUGGUAAGAGCCUUGGAUGAUGAUUUAACCACCCUGCUCAGUUUAUCUUAAAGGGAAACUUCACACUGAAAUCAAUAUUUUUUCCUCUGAGCUCCAGGAAUAUUUGGACAUCUAGAUUGUUUUGGUUUGAGGUGGAGUUUGAAAUAUAUCGACUGCAUAGAUGACUGUUGUCUCUUGAAAUAAGGGAGCUGGAUAGGUCUCAGUUUGAGGGAAAAGUACAAAAAGGAUUUAUUUGGUCAACUCAACAUCUGUGAACGGAAACUAAAACAUGAGUACUUUCUCUAAAACGAGACAAAGCUUAUGACGGCCAUGAAGGUGCAACGGGAUGUAAACAAUAAUGACGCCUUCAUUCGAUUUGUACCUUCAGCCAUAAAUUAAGCUCCAUAACAUCAGAUUGCUCUGAAAAAAUCUAAAUAAAUUUGAACUGAAGUAAAGACCUGUCACCAUUAAAAACAAAUCACGUAGUCGUAAUUAUUUAAGACUGUUGCAGUGAUGCUUGCAUAAUCAUCUUCAUUCACACUGACAAGAAUAUGAUGUCCACCUUGUUGACUGAUGGAGUUCAUGACCUUGUAAUGACAUUAGCUUGUUAUAUGCCUGUCCUCUGUUUUGGACGUAGAG
RNA transcript from Melanotaenia boesemani (Boeseman's rainbowfish), 2314 nucleotides. It is a transcript of the gene named zeta-sarcoglycan-like, with no coding region annotated. The record is from RefSeq and is a predicted model, not a curated record. The transcript has 10 exons. Lineage: Eukaryota; Metazoa; Chordata; Actinopteri; Atheriniformes; Melanotaeniidae.